Molecule: ribosomal RNA, 486 nt
Filed under: uncultured Acidobacteriota bacterium
Lineage: Bacteria; Pseudomonadati; Acidobacteriota
Description: bacterial SSU rRNA
Rfam family: Bacterial small subunit ribosomal RNA
Source: RNAcentral
GAGGAGCCUGCGGCGGAUUAGCUUGUUGGUAAGGUAACGGCUUACCAAGGCGACGAUCCGUAGCCGGCCUGAGAGGGCGGUCGGCCACACUGACACUGACAUACGGGUCAGACUCCUACGGGAGGCAGCAGUCGGGAAUUUUGGGCAAUGGGCGAAAGCCUGACCCAGCAACGCCGCGUGAAGGAUGAAAUCCCUCGGGAUGUAAACUUCGCAAGAAUGGGAAGAAUUAGUAGGGGACAAUACCCCCUGUGAUGACGGUACCAUUUGUAAGCUCCGGCUAACUCCGUGCCAGCAGCCGCGGUAAUACGGGGGGAGCAAGCGUUGUUCGGAUUUACUGGGCGUAAAGGGCGCGUAGGCGGCCAGCACAAGUCGGUUGUGAAAUCUCCGGGCUUAACUCGGAAAGGUCAACCGAUACUGUGCGGCUAGAGUGCGGAAGGGGCAACUGGAAUUCUCGGUGUAGCGGUGAAAUGCGUAGAUAUCGAGAGG